Molecule: long non-coding RNA, 683 nt
Organism: Homo sapiens (human)
Lineage: Eukaryota; Metazoa; Chordata; Mammalia; Primates; Hominidae
Product: long intergenic non-protein coding RNA 595
Source: Ensembl
GCCAGCUUGCUAACGGCCUUGCCCCAUUCAGAUGCAUCGAACUCACAGAACAUCGCUCCCCAGCUGCUGGCUCGCGGUUCUGAGAGUGCCUGAAUAGAAAACCACUCAUUUCCCUUCGCAAAAGAGGCGCCCAAAGCAGAUAUUUCAAUAUAUUCCAAUUUAGCCGAGGGAAGCCAGAACAUGGAUGUUGUUGCCAAGGAAACCACCUCCUUCCUCCUGUGUGCUGUGCAUACGUGUAUCACUUCAUCUCUCUGCUCUCCAAGCUUGAAUCUAGAUCUGACGUGGAUAUCCUGCCACAGUUCCGAAGUCUACCUAGUGCCCCAGCCGAACCUGCCCUGGCUCCUAGGUGGGGUAUGGACAUCUGUGACAUCCCUCCCCAACACCCCACCAAGCUGGGCUGCAAGACGGGUUAUGGUGGCCCCAUGACUUCCUUCCUUGAUGAAGAAACCAAGGCCCAGGGACUUCAAGCAACCAUAAGCAACAGCCAAUAAGCAGAAGAGCCUCUUCUGCACUGACUUGUAUGGACUUCCAGCCUUGCUCAUUUUCCUUUUGCAGCCUCAACCUUAUCUAGAUUUUAAGAGACAGCCCUUUUUGUACUUCCUCCCACCCCGCACCCUCACCUCUUACUCUUAUUAAGUUUAAAGUGCAAAAAUGAUGCAAUUAAAACCUAUAUUGCCUCUCGA